Molecule: long non-coding RNA, 4102 nt
Organism: Labeo rohita (rohu)
Lineage: Eukaryota; Metazoa; Chordata; Actinopteri; Cypriniformes; Cyprinidae
Exons: 3
Source: RefSeq, a predicted model, not a curated record
ACUUUUUUUUUUUCAAACUCUAGACUCCUUGGGACCUAACUACAAAUGAUCUGACAAUGCACCUUCCGCUUGACCAAGUAGUCCUGUUCCAUUCGAUUUUUAGAUUGGAUUUUUUUUUUUCCACAUAAUAUCAUAUCAUAUCAUAUCAUAUCAUAUAUCAUAAUAUCACAUGUCAUUGUUCGUGGCUGAAAACAAGCGUUUGUUUAAAUUAAUAACUAAAGACUUUAUAAAUUCGAACAAAAGGAAUUCCCACUCUGGCGCAAGGAUACAGUCUCUUUUAAGUACGGCCGGUUACUACUUUUAACAGUUCACGCAGACACACAGACGAGUCGGAGCGGAAACAAUCAGGUAAAAUGCACAUUUUCUAGAAAUUCGAUAUUAUUAUUCAUGGUUUCAAGUAUUGAGAACAUUGUUUUGACUGUUUAAAUUGUUUUUAAAUUAAUAUAGCCUUAAAAAUAAUGUUGUAUUUUUUUGCUGGCCGCGUAAUCGCAAAAAAAUGUCUGUAAAGCUUAAAGCAUGUCAUUUUUGUUGACGGUAAGGUGUAGUUUUGUUUAUUUCCUGGUAUUAAUGAAGUAGGAUUCUCAGUUAUUAUUUAUUUUAUCCUUUACUGAUGCGUUUUGUGGCCGUCUAGCCGCCAUUUUUUCACCUGAGGGAAAAUUUUCACACAAUUUAUAAUAAUAACCGUGUCUGAAUGGCAGAAUACUGAGUUUUUAAAUUAUCUAACAUAACUUGUUCUUAAAAGCGGACAAAUGCUGCUUUCGAACGCCAGGUAGGGUGGAUUUCAAGCUGUUUUGAGACCACCAUUCUCAUUAGGUCUGUCUGUGCGCGCGCUUCGAGCAUCACCUGAGCUGACAGCUCUUUUUCACAGUAGUGAUGGGUCGUUCUUAAAUGAUUCGUUCAUUUUGAACGAAUCUUUAAUGUGACUCGGGACGAACGAGUCGUCUCGGGGAGUGAUUCGUUCAGUCGCGCAUGCGCAACAUCCUAUUAGGUUCCGUACUGGAAUUAGUUCAACUGUUUCGAGUCUUCGGGUUUUUCGAGUCGUUCGUUCUUAUGGGGCUGUCACGUGAUGAACGAACGACUCAAACCCGAGGACUCAAGAGAUGAACUAAUCAAUUCUUUUUCCGGCUCAGACUGCGUUGGUUAAGCUUAUUGGGCUGUCACGUGAUGAACGAACGACUCAAACCGAAAACUUGUCAGAUAAGAGGUGAGGUGAGCGAAUCAUAGACUAAAGACCCAGGUAAACAAUGAAUUAAUCUUUUCUGUUUCUUAUAGCAUUAUAGUUUUGUUUCAUUUGAAGCGUGAUCAACGUUUGUGUAAGCAGUAGAUGUGUUAUGGAGGUAACAGGUAACAUUUUAAUUAUAUUUUGUUAAAAUGAACGAAAUGACUCGAAAAAAGAUUGGUUCAUUUUGCUGAACGAGACUCAAAGGUCCGAGUCGGUAAAAUGAUCCGAACUUCCCAUCACUAUUUCACAGCAGUUUAUGUGACACCAGUGGUUAAACUGUAAUUUUACAAAGCUACGACAAUACUUUUUGUGCGCAAAGAAAACAAAAAUAACGACUUUAUUCCAAAAAUAACGACUUUAUUUGAGCUGGUGUUAGCUACAGAUAAGGUCUUAAUAGUAGGUGACUUUAACAUCCAUGUCGAUAAUGAAAUCGAUGCACUGGGAGCAGCAUUUACAGACAUUUUAAAUUCUAUUGGAGUUAGACAACACGUGUCCGGUCCCACUCAUUGUCGAAAUCAUACUCUAGACUUAAUACUGUCACAUGGAAUUGAUGUCAAUGCCGUUGAGAUUCUGAAGCAAAGUGAUGAUAUCUCUGAUCAUUAUCUAGUCUCAUGUAUACUCCAGAUAAAUAAAACUGUAAAUUCAACUCCUUAUUACAAGUAUGGUAGAACCAUCACUUCUACUACAAAAGACUGCUUUCUGAGUAAUCUUCCUGACUUAUCUGAAUUCCUCAGCAUGUCCAAUAGCUCAGAAAAACUUGAUGAUGUAACAGAAACUAUUGACUCUCUCUUUUCCAGGACUCUAGAUACAGUCACUCCUCUGCGCCUAAGAAAGAUUAAGGAAAACAGUCCGACCCCGUGGUAUAACGAGCACACUCGCGCCCUAGAAAGAGCGGCCCAGAAAAUGGAGGAAAGCAAAAUUAGAGGUUUUUCGUACUGCUUGGCGUGAAUGUACCCUAUUGUAUAGAAAAGCAUUAAAAUUGGCAAGAUCUGAUUACUUUUCGACUCUUUUAGAAGAUAACAAACAUAACCCUAGGUAUUUAUUCAAUACAGUGGCUAAAUUAACAAAACAUAAAGAACCAACAGGCACUGACUAUUCCCACCAGCAUAGCAGUAAUGACUUUAUGAACUACUUUACUUCCAAGAUCAAUACUAUUAGAGACAAAUUGUCACCAUGCAGCCGUCAAUUACAGUAUCGCAUCAGAUAGUGUCCUAUAGAUCUCCUGGGGAACAAUUCCACUCAUUCUCUACUAUAGGUCAGGAAGAAUUGUAUAAACUUGUUAAAGCAUCUAAACCAACAACUUGUAUGCUAGACCCUAUUCCAUUUAGGCUACUAAAAGACUUGCUUCCAGAUCUCAUAGAUCCUCUGCUAAAUAUUAUGAAUUCAUCACUGUCAUUAGGAUAUGUCCCCGAAACCUUCAAACUGGCUGCUAUUAAGCCUCUCAUUAAAAAACCACAACUUGACCCCAACAAAUUAAUUAAUUACAGACCUAUCUCGAAUCUCCCAUUUCUGUCGAACAUAUUAGAAAAGGUUGUAUCCUCACAAUUAUCUUCCUUCCUACAGAAAAAUGAUAUCUGUGAGGAUUUCCAGUCAGAUUUUAGACCGUACCCUAGUACUGAGACUGCUCUUAUUAGAGUUACAAAUGAUCUGCUCUUGUCAUCCGAUCGUGGUUGUAUCUCUCUGUUAGUGCUACUGGAUCUUAGUACUGCGUUCGAUACUGUUGACCACAACAUUCUCUUGAACAGACUUGAAAAUAUUGUUGGCAUUAGUGGUAGUGCAUUGGCAUGGUUCAAAUCGUACUUAUUUGACCGCCAUCAAUUCGUGGCAGUAAAUGAAGAGGGAGGAAGAGAACCAAAAAGUAUGAUCAUAUUAGCCCGGUUCUGUCAACACUGCACUGGCUCCCUAUUAAAUAUUGUAUAGAUUUUAAAAUCUUGCUAAUUACUUAUAAAGCCCUAAAUGGUUUAGCUCCUCAGUACCUGAGCGAGCUCUUAUCGCAUUAUAGUCCCUCACGUCCGCUGCGUUCUCAAAACUCUGGAAAUUUGAUAAUACCUAGAAAAUCCAAAUCAACCGCGGGCGGCAGAUCAUUUUCUUAUUUAGCACCCAAACUUUGGAACAAUCUACCCAACACUGUUCGGGACACAGACACACUCUGUCAGUUUAAAUCUAGAUUAAAGACCCAUCUCUUUAACCUUGCUUACACAUAACAUUAACACAUUUCUAUAAUUCAAAUCCGUUAAAGGAUUGUUAGGUGCUAAUUAGGUCAACCAAUUAGGUCAACCGGAACCGGGAACACUUCCCAUAACACCCGAUGUACUCAGUGCAACGUCAGAAGAAUGGCAGCUACGCUAAUAUUAGUCUGUUUCUUUCUUAUUCCGAGGUCACAUUAACCACCAGAUCCAGUAUGUAUCCAGAUCAGAUGGUCACUGCAGUCCUCCGGAUCCAGUCCGUACCCAGCCCAGGCGGUGGAUCAGCACCUAGAGACGACCUCUACAGCACUGAAUGUCAGCGGAGACCACAUCGACUAGAUGAGCCCCAGAGACGAAUCCCCAGUGAAGACCUCGUCACCUAGACGGCUGUCGGCACAGGACCACGGGACCUGGUCAUUCUCUCCUCUGAGAAAUGAGAGUAGGAGAACACUGCCUCCAAAAUGAGUCUUGAUAACAAGAAAGAAGAUGAUGGCGCUGCCUCAGAAAUGAGUUCUCCAUCUGCUCUAUCCAGUUGUGUGUCUAUGAAAAGUGAUCAAUCCAGGAAAAAUCCUCCUAACUUAAAUGAAGGAACAUUGACUUCUGACCCCAGCAUCACUAGGAGGAAGAGUCCGAGAUCAGAGUCUCCAGAACCUAGCUCUGUGUCUGCGAAGAGAAAAAGCUUCAUGGAUGAACC